GUGCCAGCAGCCGCGGUAAUACGGAGGGGGCGAGCGUUAUUCGGAAUUAUUGGGCGUAAAGGGCGCGUAGGUGGCCCUGUAAGUCAAAGGUGAAAUCCCUCGGCUCAACCGAGGAAUUGCCCUUGAAACUGCAGGGCUUGAGGCCGGGAGGGGGUAGCGGAAUUCCCAGUGUAGCGGUGAAAUGCGUAGAUACUGGGAGGAACACCGGUGGCGAAGGCGGCUACCUGGACCGGUUCUGACACUGAUGCGCGAAAGCGUGGGUAGCAAACAGGAUUAGAAACCCCCGUAGUCC
Molecule: ribosomal RNA, 292 nt
Filed under: uncultured bacterium
Lineage: Bacteria
Description: partial 16S ribosomal RNA
Rfam family: Bacterial small subunit ribosomal RNA
Source: RNAcentral